RNAcentral lists this long non-coding RNA (1057 nucleotides) under Olea europaea subsp. europaea. The record is from RNAcentral. Lineage: Eukaryota; Viridiplantae; Streptophyta; Magnoliopsida; Lamiales; Oleaceae.
AAAUAUCAUAAUAUAUUAAAUCAAAAGCGGACAUACCCGUUUAUUCAAUCUAGAUAGAUAUGGUACACUAUAGUGCUUUGCUAAUUGACACGACCCACAAUCUAAAUGAGACACUUGACUAAGAUUAUGACAUAAUUUCUUCAAAAUAGGGAGAAAAUGAUGACUGAACCGACAAUGGGGCUGCAGAAGAGAAGAGGUACUCAUGCAUGCAAUAGGCCUUGUGGCACCUGUGUGGGAGAAGAGUCGAGCACAUACAAGCCAUUGAACUCACGCCCUCUACCAAUAAUCUGCUUCGUCCCAAGAUCUUGAAAAAUGCAAUGGUUAGGAAAGAAAAUGACACUAUAAUUAAGAGAUUUAGUAAUUUGACUCACAAAUAAAAGAUUAAAAGGAAACUGAGGUAAGCAUAAGACAGAAGACAAAGGCAGAAAGUUUGUUGGAUGUGCUGUCGCGCAUCCGACUACAAGAGUUGCAGAACCAACUAUUAGCUAAAGUGAUACAUGAUAAAUUAGACGAAGACUGGAAUGAUGAAAGUAUACCUGUAUUCCCAAACAUAUGAUCUAUGGAAUCGGAAUAAAUGACCCAAUUGUCGAACAAGGUAGAAAGAUAUGCUACAAAAUUACCUGUGUUGGCUAGAGUGGAAGUGGAACGUAUAACAGGAUGUUGAGGAGUGGGUUGUUGAGAAGCAUAAAAUUGUGUAAAGUAAGCAUAUUCCUCCGCUGAAAUUGUAAUUUGAUGUUGAGAUGGAAGCGUAGUAAGUGCAGGUAGAAGACCAUCUUGAGUAGCAACAUUGGCAAAUUUUCUCAUAGAAGUCUCACUUGUGUACUUUGCUUGUUUGCCAUUUAAUUUCCAACAAUUUCUUCUUAUAUAUCCUUGCUCUCCACAAUAAUAACAACUACAAGAACCACCACUAGAGAUUCUAUCUCGACUACCUCCCUCUCCUCUCCUCCUCCUUUGAUACUGUGAUUGCUAUUUAUCUUUGAGCCAACUAGAGCUACCAUCUCAUUUAGUGUUACACCCCAUUCCUUGUCAUUGUCCUUGCAUACCUGAAGGAGACGAG